Molecule: long non-coding RNA, 674 nt
Filed under: Salvia miltiorrhiza (redroot sage)
Lineage: Eukaryota; Viridiplantae; Streptophyta; Magnoliopsida; Lamiales; Lamiaceae
Description: long non-coding RNA (SMIL_LNC003876)
Source: RNAcentral
GGAUUAAUCUUAUUACAGCAACUCGUGGUUUGCUUAUGACCAUAUGUACGUAUAUUACUCAUUUAUGCACUCUGCAUUCCAUAAAACUGAGCAUGCUUGUUAGUAUGAAUGUGGACUGGAUAAACUGAGAUAGUAUAUACCUUGUGAGGGUUUAGCGUUGCUCGUUGUUGUUGUUGGAUUUAAUCCAGUGGAUAUUUACUCUUGAAGAAGUGCAAGCAGCAGCAAAUCAACUCUCUUUCUCAUUCUCUUGUUGUUGGCGUGUGAAGAAGUGGAUGGAAAUUGCUUGGCUGAUGAUUUAAAGAUGGAGUUGUUGGCUGAUACUACAAGAAAGCCUUUAGAGGAGGUAUAGUCAUAGGUUGCGGCUGAGGUGGUUGGAUGUGGUAUGCACGCUUGAGUGUGCUUAGUCAAAAGGUGCAAAAUAGGCGGUGGAGCAGGAGGAAAGAAUGCAGUGGUGACUGCCUUUGCAGCCCACUUUUCCUUUUCCCUUUUUUAUUCUGUUAUUUCCUUUUGGUACUUAGUGUUGGUGUAAUUUAGAAGAUAGAAAUGGAGGUUGAUUGUGGUGAAUAAAUGAGAUAUAUUCGUAUAUCUCGGUGCUUUUGUAAUUGUAAUAUGAAUCACGUGCUCGUAUCUGCUUUGAUACUGUCUAACUUUUUAAAUAAAUCCUGUGUUUCGAC